GGUCAAGUUAGAAAGAGCAUACGGUGGAUGCCUAGGCACACGGAGGCGAUGAAGGACGUGGUAAGCUGCGAUAAGCCGCGGAGAAGUGCAAACAACUUUAGAUCCGCGGAUUUCCGAAUGGGACAACCUGGCCGGGGUCAUGCCCGGUCAUCAACCGCUGAAUAAAAUAGGCGGCUUGAAGCCAACCCGGAGAAUUGAAACAUCUUAGUACCCGGAGGAAGAGAAAGCAACAGCGAUUCCCCUAGUAGCGGCGAGCGAACAGGGAACAGCCCAAACCUGCAUUAUGUCAAGCCCACUCGCGUUGUAAUGCAGGGGUCGUGGGAACCGAUUGGGGAAGGAAUGGCUUCCCCUGAGAGUUACAAAACCAACUGUUAAUCGAAGUGUCGGUCUUCGGACUUUGGAAAAGCACGCCAUAGAAGGUGAAAGCCCUGUAGAUGAAAACAGAUUGGUCUCUUGUCGGGUUUCCCAAGUACCGCGGGACACGUGAAACCCCGUGGGAAUCUAGGUGGACCAUCACCUAAGGCUAAAUACUCCCGUGUGACCGAUAGCGGACCAGUACCGUGAGGGAAAGGUGAAAAGUACUCCUGACGGAGAGUGAAAUAGUACCUGAAACCGUAUGCUUACAAACGGUCGGAGCUUGAUAGUGUCUCUUCGGAGUCGCUUGAUAGUGACGGCGUACCUUUUGUUUAAUGGGCCAGCGAGUUACUCGUGCGUUGCAAGGUUAAGAGGUUCAGCCUCGUAUCCGUAGCGAAAGCGAGUCUUAAUAGGGCGACUUUAGUAAUGCGCGGUAGACGCGAAACCGGGUGAUCUAUCCAUGGCCAGGUUGAAGCGACGGUAAAACGUCGUGGAGGACCGAACCUGUUGAGGUUGAAAACUCAUUGGAUGAGCUGUGGAUAGGGGUGAAAGGCCAAUCAAACCCGGCGAUAGCUCGUACUCCCCGAAAUGCUUUUAGGAGCAGCCUCGUAUGGACAGGACCGGAGGUAGAGCACUGGAAGGGCUAGGGCCGCUAAAACGGUACCAAACCCUACCAAACUCCGAAUGCCGGAUCCUUAAUGUACGGGAGUGAGACUACGAGGGAUAAGCCCCGUGGUCAAAAGGGGAACAGCCCAGACCAUCGGUUAAGGCCCCGAAAUGUGGCUUAAGUGGCAAAGGAGGUGGGAUCGCCCAGACAACUGGGAGGUUGGCUUAGAAGCAGCCAUCCUUUAAAGAGUGCGUAACAGCUCACCAGUCAAGUAAUCCUGCGCCGAAAAUUUGCGGGACUAAACCACUGCCGAAACCAUGGAUUCAUCCCGAUUCGUCGGGAUGGAUGGUAGGGGAGCAUUCCAUCCCCGUUGAAGGUGUUCCGUGAGGAAUGCUGGAGGAAAUGGAAGAGAGUAUGCUGGCGUGAGUAGCGAUAAAACAGGUGAGAAACCUGUUCACCGAAAAUCUAAGGUUUCCUGAGUAAAGCUAAUCUGCUCAGGGUUAGCCGACCCCUAAGU
Molecule: ribosomal RNA, 1478 nt
Filed under: Candidatus Hatepunaea meridiana
Lineage: Bacteria; Pseudomonadati; Candidatus Electryoneota; Candidatus Electryoneia; Candidatus Hatepunaeales; Candidatus Hatepunaeaceae
Description: partial 23S ribosomal RNA
Rfam family: Bacterial large subunit ribosomal RNA
Source: RNAcentral